Molecule: long non-coding RNA, 659 nt
Organism: Triticum aestivum (bread wheat)
Lineage: Eukaryota; Viridiplantae; Streptophyta; Magnoliopsida; Poales; Poaceae
Exons: 2
Source: RefSeq, a predicted model, not a curated record
GCAGGGGCGGAAUAUCUCGUGCUGGUAGGAGCACGUGCUUAAACAAUGGCCCGCUACAGAGACACAGAGUUCUUCAUUUUCUUCCCGGCGGCCGUCGCCUGAGUCGCACAGGGGCGGCUGCUCCUUCUCCCGCCCUGCCGUCGCCACCGCAGUAUCUUGGACGGGGCCCCAGGAUCUUCAACGGCGCAGCCGCCCGGCGGCCCUCUCUCAGUCGCACGAUGUUCGGACGGCGCCGGAGAUCCGUUCCUCCGCGGGUCGUGGUGGAGAUCCCUCGCAUAGGAUAACGGCAUGGGUGGUGAAGGCAUCUCGAUAGAUGAAUUUAUGGAGUAUGACUCGAUGGUCAUGCAGACAUUUAAAAGCGAGAACGAAGCUUACAAGUUCUACUUAGGGUAUGUGAAGAACAAAGGGUUUGUGACUAAACUUAGUAUGAUGGCUCGGUGGAGAAAGAGAAAAGAGAACAAUGACGAAGUGUGUGCUAAGAAGAAAAGACCUUUGAAGUUUAUGUAUUUUCAGAAAUAUUGUACAUGUUGAACCCUGUUUCGAUACCAUGUUAAUUUAUUUAAUUUCCUACAGGAAAACACCUGGAAAGUCAAGUAGACAGACUAAGAUGACAAGGGGAACACAAGUAUUAUACAUUCAGAUUUUUACUAUGGCAUUUA